Molecule: ribosomal RNA, 1139 nt
Filed under: Leuconostoc carnosum
Lineage: Bacteria; Bacillati; Bacillota; Bacilli; Lactobacillales; Lactobacillaceae
Description: bacterial SSU rRNA
Rfam family: Bacterial small subunit ribosomal RNA
Source: RNAcentral
GGCCCAAAUUCCUACGGGAGGCUGCAGUAGGGAUCUUCCACAAUGGGCGAAAGCCUGAUGGAGCAACGCCGCGUGUGUGAUGAAGGCUUUCGGGUCGUAAAGCACUGUUGUAUGGGAAGAAAAGUUAAGGUAGGGAAUGACCUUAGCCUGACGGUACCAUACCAGAAAGGGACGGCUAAAUACGUGCCAGCAGCCGCGGUAAUACGUAUGUCCCGAGCGUUAUCCGGAUUUAUUGGGCGUAAAGCGAGCGCAGACGGUUGGUUAAGUCUGAUGUGAAAGCCCGGAGCUCAACUCCGGAAAGGCAUUGGAAACUGGUUAACUUGAGUGCAGUAGAGGUAAGUGGAACUCCAUGUGUAGCGGUGGAAUGCGUAGAUAUAUGGAAGAACACCAGCGGCGAAGGCGGCUUACUGGACUGUAACUGACGUUGAGGCUCGAAAGUGUGGGUAGCAAACAGGAUUAGAUACCCUGGUAGUCCACACCGUAAACGAUGAACACUAGGUGUUAGGAGGUUUCCGCCUCUUAGUGCCGAAGCUAACGCAUUAAGUGUUCCGCCUGGGGAGUACGACCGCAAGGUUGAAACUCAAAGGAAUUGACGGGGACCCGCACAAGCGGUGGAGCAUGUGGUUUAAUUCGAAGCAACGCGAAGAACCUUACCAGGUCUUGACAUCCUUUGAAGCUUUUAGAAAUAGAAGUGUUCUCUUCGGAGACAAAGUGACAGGUGGUGCAUGGUCGUCGUCAGCUCGUGUCGUGAGAUGUUGGGUUAAGUCCCGCAACGAGCGCAACCCUUAUUGUUAGUUGCCAGCAUUCAGAUGGGCACUCUAGCGAGACUGCCGGUGACAAACCGGAGGAAGGCGGGGACGACGUCAGAUCAUCAUGCCCCUUAUGACCUGGGCUACACACGUGCUACAAUGGCGUAUACAACGAGUUGCCAACCUGCGAAGGUGAGCUAAUCUCUUAAAGUACGUCUCAGUUCGGACUGCAGUCUGCAACUCGACUGCACGAAGUCGGAAUCGCUAGUAAUCGCGGAUCAGCACGCCGCGGUGAAUACGUUCCCGGGUCUUGUACACACCGCCCGUCACACCAUGGAAGUUUGUAAUGCCCAAAGCCGGUGGCCUAACCGUAAGGAGGGAACCGUCUAA